UACGAGUGCCCCAAGCGUUAUCCGGAAUUACUGGGCGUAAAGCGCGUGUAGGCGGUUGCCCAAGUCGGGUGUGAAAGCCUUGAGCUCAACUCAAGAAAUGCACUCGGUACUGGGUGACUAGAGGACCGGAGAGGAUAGUGGAAUUCCCAGUGUAGUGGUGAAAUACGUAGAGAUUGGGAAGAACACCAGUGGCGAAGGCGGCUAUCUGGACGGUUUCUGACGCUAAGACGCGAAAGCGUGGGGAGCAAACAGG
RNAcentral lists this ribosomal RNA (253 nucleotides) under uncultured bacterium. Its description in RNAcentral is "partial 16S ribosomal RNA". It matches the Rfam family "Bacterial small subunit ribosomal RNA", at positions 524 to 776 of the family's 1533-position model. The record is from RNAcentral.